GCGUAGAAUACGCAAGAGGGCGCAGGAAGUCGAAGGUAGAACGCGCGUCUACUAGGCGUCGCAUCGGUCGGAUUUUGACUCGAUGGAUCGAUUGAAAAUCAACGCGACAUCUCGUUCGACUUGUCUAGCCUUUGAGUCAUCGAUUCACAGACGCGUCUAUGGUGUAGACGCGCGACGCCAGGUGCACCCGGAAUAAUUAUGAACGUGACACGUGGAUCAGUGGCGUGUAAUGGUUUCUAAGAAAUGUGUCUCUUUCUGGUGUUUAUCGUUCUCGGCGAUUAUCUAAUUUUGGUUCGAAACACUGUUUAUGGGUAUAUACCAAUUAGGAGGAUCCGAAUUCGUGGCAGAAGCAUGUAACGGUCCAAUUAUCGGCUGCCAUAUAUCAACCGCCAGAAAUUCGAUAUAUUCGACACGGUGAUCGAUCUACAGAUGGGCAUAAUAAUCAAGAACAUUGGCCAUUGCAGAAACACUAUGAACGAAUAACGGACGUCAAAUAUUUUGCAAGUAGUCUAACGAAGGAUGCAGAGGACUCCAAGAGGGAAGAAAAGGCAACAAAAAAAAUUUUCAUACGAAUCGAAGUAUGAUUCACUUUAAUGCGUUUAUUAUGCGCGACAAGGAAUGUCGGCGUGUCGCGUUUAAGUGACAACGACAAUGGCUCCGCCGGUUGUAACGAUUUAGCUGGAAUACACCAGGCCAAACCUAGCGACAAUAGGCCGCCACGCGAAUAGAGAGGAGAAAAAGGAAAAGAUGAGGAUAAAAGGAGGGAACGUAAGCCGGUGACGAUGUUUCUCGUGAUACGUGACAGGAUGCACCGCCACGUGCCCGCUUUGCGGGUGGUUGGCGAGCACAUUCAAAGGUGGAACUUCGUCAUCGAGUACGUGGAAGACACUGGGCACACGCUGCAUGUAGAUAUCUGGACAAUCGACACGCGAUCAACCUCUUCUUUCUUUCUUAACGAGGCUUGAGAGAGGAACGCCUAUUUCGAUGUGUGGAAAGAAAUAAUGCUUCCUUUGUGACUUCGUGUCGCGUUUGCUUAAACUUAAACGGAAUACUUCUUUGGAAGUAUCUGUUCAACUCAUCGCAAAACGCACAGCUCCACCGGGCCCAGGACAAAGACAAUAGCCGAGAUAGAUCGCGACUUCCGUCUUCUUCGGUACCCCGGAAAGCGAGGAAAAAAACCGGGUGUCCUUCUAUCGCGCGAUCUCAUCUCCUCGAGAUGGCGACAGGCCCGGCUGUCGGCCAACGAAGAGGGGCCAACCGAGGAACAACUGUGCGUAGCCCGAGCAAGAAGAGAGCCAAGCCAAAGGAACCAAGAAAAAGAAACUUCGGUCGGAGAAAAGUCAACCGAUGGAACAACGACAGAGGACAACUCACCGAGAAAGAAGAAGAAGAAGAAGAAAAAGUCGACGUAUAGACUCGUGCGGCUGGCCUUGAUUCAUUCAGACCCUUUUUAUCUCGAGAAUUCGUCCCGGAAAGGACGCUCGAUUUCUCGGAACCUUCUCUCGGUCCCCUCGGGGUCCGAGAUUUAGGCCGGGGCCCGUGGUCGCUGAUAGCAGAAGAGAGAAGCGGACGCAUCAAUGGGCUCCAUUCAAACUCGGGUCCAGAUCGUAUCUAAGAGUGGUUUUCGGGCCCAGGACAUCGAUCUUGGUCCCCCUAAUUAUUUCCAAGAUGGAGAUCAUCGUGGUCCUAGCACACGGCUCGGUAUCGAGGCUAUUUUGGGUCCACGAGGAGAGAGAAGGAGAGAGGGAGAGAGAGAAAGAGACAGAGAGGAGUGUACCUGCUUUCUUUAGGGCCUUGCGUAUCCUAUGGCGACGGACGCUUGGCCGAUUGGUCACGCUCGCGGGCCCGCUUCGAAACGAUUUCGCACGGUUUUCGUGGACAUGUCUCUCGAUGCUCUUGCCGACUUUUGUACUGGAGACACGAGAAAGAUCGCCGUGGAUAAUCGCUUCUUGGCAUCGGUCAGACGAUGUUGUAUCAAUUUAGCUUCCGUUCCGACUUUGUUCAGAAAAGUGAAUAUAAACUGAUGCUAUAUAUUCUUUGAUGUUUGAUAAAGCGACUGCAAAAUAGUCGAUUCCAAAACAUUAAAAUUUUUAUUUCACAUGUUUAAUUUUUCAUGCAAUGUCGCAUAACGAAAUAAUUUUGAUUCGUUUGAUGUUGAUUUUAUAUACGUAUCUUGUUUGCCAUCGUUUCGACGUUACAAGGAUCGUUGUAGCAUGUAUUAACGUAAUCAAAUGCCACGUGAUAAUGAAGCUAUUUAACAUAAUUUAGAAACCUUUCAUCCAUAUUAUCGCGUGACGACUUUCCAUUAAUCCUAUUCAUGGGUUUACCAAGAAUAAAAGCUCGCCAAUUCUAACCUAUUUGCAACAGCAAUCGUAUAAACUUUGUGCAAUUUUCUUGAAAUUUUUCCUGGCAAUGCAUUCUACGUAACCUUUAUAUCAUUUAUAUCUGGAACAAAAUUUUUGAAAACAAUAUAAUAUAAUAUAAAUUAUUUGUGUGAAAAAUAUAUUUAUCGAAAAAAAGGUUACAUAUGUCCAUAUCCAUUUCUUACCUUUUUACGAUUCUAAAAUAAAUAUAUCGCGCUUUAU
Molecule: long non-coding RNA, 2585 nt
Organism: Apis cerana (Asiatic honeybee)
Lineage: Eukaryota; Metazoa; Arthropoda; Insecta; Hymenoptera; Apidae
Source: RefSeq, a predicted model, not a curated record